Molecule: ribosomal RNA, 210 nt
Filed under: uncultured bacterium
Lineage: Bacteria
Description: partial 16S ribosomal RNA
Rfam family: Bacterial small subunit ribosomal RNA
Source: RNAcentral
UACGUAGGGCGCAAGCGUUAUCCGGAAUUAUUGGGCGUAAAGAGCUCGUAGGCGGUUUGUCGCGUCUGCCGUGAAAGUCCGGGGCUCAACUCCGGAUCUGCGGUGGGUACGGGCAGACUAGAGUGUUGCAGGGGAGACUGGAAUUCCUGGUGUAGCGGUGAAAUGCGCAGAUAUCAGGAGGAACACCGGUGGCGAAGGCGGGAUCUCUGG